GCCUCAAUCAGAAAUGGGCCCGACUCGUACUAAGUAAUAGGUAGCAGCCAAUCACUGCCCCAAAGUGUUUACAGUGUAAUUUGAGAUGAGGUGCAGCAACUGAGAGCACUAAGAAGUCGACUUGAUUUCACAAAGGAAGAAAAAAAGGCUGAGAAACAAAUACGUUUGUUUGACUCGGAGUAACACUCAAAAAUGGUAUCAUUUCAAAGACCUUGGAGAAGUAUCUGGAGAGCAAGUCUAAGGUGUCUGAUCCUUUACACAUUAGUAAUGUUCCUAGGUAAAAGGAUUGAGAAAUAGAAAGGUACUUCACCAAUGGGGUUUGUAGCAUGAAGGCGUGAGACUGGUUCAACGUACAUUACUGCAUGAAACAGAGGCCAGGAAAAGCAAGUAGAAGGAUGGGGAAAAAAAUGUUGUAAUCUUGAAACUCUCUUGGGACAGGAAAAAUCUUCUCCCGCAGCAAUAACCACAACUCAGCUUGUUCAGCAUAUGAAAUGGAAAGAUGCCUGUUCCCUCCUUCUGCAAAAUAUUAAUAGGAUUAUUACCCUCACAUUGUUAAUUCUGCUUGAUUGUCCUUGUGCACAUGUGUUUAUGUUCGGUAGACGAAGGAGAACAGAAAGUCAGCAACUCAAAGUGAUAAAGCAAGAUAGCAACUCAAGG
Molecule: long non-coding RNA, 657 nt
Organism: Mauremys reevesii (Reeves's turtle)
Lineage: Eukaryota; Metazoa; Chordata; Testudines; Geoemydidae
Exons: 3
Source: RefSeq, a predicted model, not a curated record